UGCUGAGAUCGACUUUACCUUUCAUUCUUUCGGGGGUCAGUAAAAUAAGUACCAGUUGAGCACUGGGGUCAAUGUAAUUAACUUACCCUGCUCUCCUGAGAUUGCUGGUCUUGUGCCAAAAUUCGGAACCAAUUUUAUUAAAUACCACCAAAGCUGUGUGCAACUAAAUUGCUUUUAUAAUUUAUUACAAUAAUUUUUAAAUUCCAGACAAUUUUCGGGAAUAUUCUUUACUAAUUCUUUACUGCAUUGAAUAUCAUCAUCAUCAUCAUUAUCAUCAUCAUCAUCAUCAUUUUUAAUGUCCAUUUUUCCAUGCUUGCAUCGGUCACAUGGAAUGGCUAGGUGCCCUCCGUGUUGCCAACUCUCGCCUGCUUCUUAGCAAGGUGAUAUUUUCCCCUUGGCCAGACAUGUUUUUCAGGGAAGACUGAUAACGAACAGCAUCGUUUGUGUGGUGGUAAUGCUUGUUUAGUCAUCACAUGACUUCAAGAAAGGGUACACACACACACCUGCACAAUGGGCUUCUUUCGGUUUCCACUCACAAGGCUUUGGUCGGCUCUGGGCUAUAGUAGAAGACACAUGCCCAAGGUGCCAUGCAGUGGAACUGAGCCCAACAUCAGAUGUGUAGAGGUGGGAUUACAAUAAACACAAUUAUAGAUUAUUAGCUCCUACCUAUGUUUAACUCAUUACAUUUAUUAGGAACUCAACAUUGGAUGUUCCAAGUGUAUUAAGAUUACUAACUGCGAUGGAUCACCAAGGAAACACUUUAUUGCAUUCUGUUACAGAACUCUAAUAUCUAUAGUUAGACAUGAUAAAGUAUCCCUCCUAGUAAUCCUUUGUAGUAAGAGCAUCUCAUGCAGAAUUCUAAGUAACUGCAAUAUUGAAACGUAUGUAGAAACUAAUAAUUUAUACUUGUGUUUAUCAUAAUUUUUCCCUACAUGUGCUCUGUGUAUCACAAUUAGUUACACUACUAA
This is a long non-coding RNA of Octopus sinensis (East Asian common octopus), 968 nucleotides long. RefSeq lists it as uncharacterized. The record is from RefSeq and is a predicted model, not a curated record. The transcript is spliced from 2 exons. NCBI's taxonomy places the organism in Eukaryota, Metazoa, Mollusca, Cephalopoda, Octopoda, Octopodidae.